CAGUAACCUAUUACAUUUCAAAAGUUACCUUCUCUAUACUGACCGUGACAAUCAGCAAUAACACCUCUUUGUACCGUACAUGUGUUGUUAUUUUGUCUGACAGCUCGUGUUGUGGUGAACCUGAGGGUUGUCAGUCUGGUGGAGAGCGUGGCCUUCCAAAGCUCCUCCUACAACUUCAGUUUACCUGAGAACCUGCCAGUGGGGGCGACGGUGGGAAAGGUCUGGGCCUCCUCAGGAAGCAACCUUUACGACGUGGCCUACGCACUGAAAACGUACACUGACCUGUUCUCCAUCGACACCAGUGGAGCCAUCCUGACUACUGCACAGCUGGACAAAGAAAAGCAGGAGUGGUACAUCCUGGACGUGGAGGCUUCCUCAGGUCAGGUGUACGUGGUGUCAGCAGCAGAUGUGGAUGGAGACACAGUAACAGUGGAGGUGAAGGCCACAGACCCCCAAGGACUUUUCGCUACGGUCACGGUGAAGGUGGUGGUUCAGGGAAGUGCGAGCAGCAAUGACGUGGUGACCAUCUCACUCAAUCAGCCUGCUAAUACUGUGGAGAAUAAAAUUCCAGAAUUGGAGAAUGCUUUAGGUAAAGCUCUGGGCUGGACAGUGAACAUCAUCCAGGUGUCCAAUGCUAACAGAGGAGCCACUAAGUCCCGAAUGCUGAGAAACUCUGUGAAGACUUUGGUCAGCUUCAUCACCGAAGAAAAUGGAGAGACAGUUUCCUCUCAAAAAGUCAUAAAG
Amphiprion ocellaris (clown anemonefish) is the source of this 744-nucleotide long non-coding RNA. The record is from Ensembl. Lineage: Eukaryota; Metazoa; Chordata; Actinopteri; Pomacentridae.